GAAAAACCUCCUCGCCGGAAGACCAAGGGUUCCUGUCCAACGUUAAUCGGGGCAGGGUAAGUCGACCCCUAAGGCGAGGCCGAAAGGCGUAGUCGAUGGGAAACGGGUUAAUAUUCCCGUACUUCUUACAAUUGCGAUGGGGGGACGGAGAAGGCUAGGUGGGCCUGGCGACGGUUGUCCAGGUUCAAGUGCGUAGGCUUAAGAGUUAGGUAAAUCCGGCUCUUUUUAAGGCUGAGACACGACGUCGAGCAUCUACGGAUGUGAAGUCAUUGAUGCCAUGCUUCCAGGAAAAGCCUCUAAGCUUCAGAUUGUAAGGAAUCGUACCCCAAACCGACACAGGUGGUCGGGUAGAGAAUACCAAGGCGCUUGAGAGAACUCGGGUGAAGGAACUAGGCAAAAUGGUACCGUAACUUCGGGAGAAGGUACGCUCUCGACGGUGAAGUCCCUCGCGGAUGGAGCUAUU
RNAcentral lists this ribosomal RNA (463 nucleotides) under Vibrio parahaemolyticus. RNAcentral describes it as "partial 23S ribosomal RNA". It matches the Rfam family "Bacterial large subunit ribosomal RNA", at positions 1323 to 1786 of the family's 2925-position model. Lineage: Bacteria; Pseudomonadati; Pseudomonadota; Gammaproteobacteria; Vibrionales; Vibrionaceae. The record is from RNAcentral.